UUGAACGCUGGCGGCAUGCCUUACACAUGCAAGUCGAACGGCAGCGCGGACUUCGGUCUGGCGGCGAGUGGCGAACGGGUGAGUAACAUAUCGGAACGUGCCAGGACGUGGGGGAUAACUAGUCGAAAGAUUAGCUAAUACCGCCUACGCCCCGAGGGGGAACGUGGGGGAUCGCAAGACCUCACGCUUGCUGAGCGGCCGAUAUCUUAUUAGCUAGUUGGUUGGGUAAAAGCCUACCAAGGCGACGAUCAGUAGCUGGUCUGAGAGGACGAACAGCCACACUGGGACGGAGACACGGCCCAGACUCCUACGGGAGGCAGCAGUGGGGAAUUUUGGACAAUGGGGGCAACCCUGAUCCAGCAAUGCCGCGGGAGUGAAGAAGGCCUUCGGGUUGGAAAG
RNAcentral lists this ribosomal RNA (399 nucleotides) under uncultured bacterium. Its description in RNAcentral is "bacterial SSU rRNA". It matches the Rfam family "Bacterial small subunit ribosomal RNA", at positions 29 to 430 of the family's 1533-position model. The record is from RNAcentral.